This 865-nucleotide ribosomal RNA is filed under the name uncultured Alphaproteobacteria bacterium. RNAcentral's name for it is "bacterial SSU rRNA". It matches the Rfam family "Bacterial small subunit ribosomal RNA", at positions 8 to 918 of the family's 1533-position model. The record is from RNAcentral. Lineage: Bacteria; Pseudomonadati; Pseudomonadota; Alphaproteobacteria.
AGAGUUUGAUUCUGGCUCAGAACGAACGCUGGCGGCAGGCCUCAAACAUGCAAGUCUAGGGGGCGUAGCAAUACGUCACCGGCGGACGGGUGCGUAACACGUGGGAAUAUACCUUUUGGUUCGGAACAACGCAGGGAAACUUGCGCUAAUACCGAAUGUGUCCUUACGGAGAAAGAUUUAUCGCCAAAGGAUUAGCCCGCGUUCGAUUAGCUAGUUGGUGAGGUAACGGCUCACCAAGGCAACGAUCGAUAGCUGUUCUGAGAGGAAGAUCAGCCACACUGGGACUGAGACACGGCCCAGACUCCUACGGGAGGCAGCAGUUGGGAAUCUUGGACAAUGGGGGAAACCCUGAUCCAGCCAUGCCGCGUGAGUGAUGAAGGCCUUCGGGUUGUAAAGCUCUUUUACCCGGGAAGAUAAUGACUGUACCGGGAGAAUAAGCUCCGGCUAACUUCGUGCCAGCAGCCGCGAUAAUACGAAGGGGGCUAGCGUUGUUCGGAAUUACUGGGCGUAAAGCGCGCGCAGGCGGUUUCUCAAGUCAGUGGUGAAAGCCCGGAGCUCAACUCCGGAACUGCCAUUGAAACUGUGAAACUUGAGGACGAGAGAGGUGAGUGGAAUUCCCAGUGUAGAGGUGAAAUUCGUAGAUAUUGGGAAGAACACCGGUGGCGAAGGCGGCUCACUGGCUCGUUUCUGACGCUCAGGCGCGACAGCGUGGGGAUCGAACAGGAUUAGAUACCCUGGUAGUCCACGCCGUAAACGAUGAACGCUAGCCGUUGGGUAGCUUGCUAUUCAGUGGCGCAGCUUACGCAUUAAGCGUUCCGCCUGGGAGAGUACGGCCGCAGGCUGAAAACUCAAUGAAUUGACGGGG